GCCAGCAUGGUAUAGUGGUUUGAACAUUGGACUAAAACUCUGGAGGCUAGGGUUCAAAUCCCCACUUGGCC
Non-coding RNA from Phrynosoma platyrhinos (Desert horned lizard), 71 nucleotides. Lineage: Eukaryota; Metazoa; Chordata; Lepidosauria; Squamata; Phrynosomatidae. The record is from the annotation of a GenBank genome assembly.